Molecule: ribosomal RNA, 270 nt
Filed under: uncultured archaeon
Lineage: Archaea
Description: partial 16S ribosomal RNA
Rfam family: Archaeal small subunit ribosomal RNA
Source: RNAcentral
CAGCACCUCAAGUGGUCAGGAUGAUUAUUGGGCCUAAAGCAUCCGUAGCCGGCGCUGUAAGUUUUCGGUUAAAUCUGUACGCUUAACGUACAGGCUGCCGGGAAUACUGCAGCGCUAGGGAGUGGGAGAGGUAGACGGUACUCGGUAGGAAGGGGUAAAAUCCUUUGAUCUAUUGAUGACCACCUGUGGCGAAGGCGGUCUACCAGAACACGUCCGACGGUGAGGGAUGAAAGCUGGGGGAGCAAACCGGAUUAGAGACCCGAGUAGUCC